AUCAGCUACUCAUGUGAAUAUGGGCCCUGCUACACCUCAGGAAGUAGAAUUCAAUGACUGAACAUGACAUUUUCAGAGAGUACAGGAGGUGACAGUCUGCUAGGCUGGAAUUCCCACUGCAAUGAUGAGUGAUGAUUGUUACUAUGACUGGACUGAGGCCAUGCUGCACCCUGGAAUGAUCCCUUAUGAUUUCAGAGGCUUG
Molecule: long non-coding RNA, 202 nt
Filed under: Homo sapiens (human)
Lineage: Eukaryota; Metazoa; Chordata; Mammalia; Primates; Hominidae
Description: HSALNT0116412
Source: RNAcentral